Molecule: long non-coding RNA, 885 nt
Filed under: Homo sapiens (human)
Lineage: Eukaryota; Metazoa; Chordata; Mammalia; Primates; Hominidae
Description: HSALNT0265767
Source: RNAcentral
GUCAGCAUUAUCCUAUAGAAUAGUGGAUCUUUGUGCCACAAGCAGGAGGCUACAGUCCUAAGACACAGCCCACCCUGCACAGUCCUUCCCUUUGCCAUUUUAGGACAGGGGUGCAGCCCUUACAGCCAGUGCUGCUGGGGCAGGCCUCCCAGGUACCUUCCAACCUCGGAGCUGCACUGACCCCCUCUUUUGGCUGCUGCCAUGAACACUGAAGGUGAAAUGAUGAAGGAAAAUCCACCCCAGUAGCGCCAAGGCCAGCACCCCACAUGCUGUCCCUGCAAAGUCAGAGCAGGGGACACGGCAGGGAGAGUGGGGAGCGUCUGCUUCCUUUUCCUCUCCACCCUGACUUGCUUUAACAGGGUCUUUGGGGUGAGGGAAGUGUAGCACCCCCUAGGAUGCCAUGAGCUGAGGAGAUUUGAGUCUGGGCCUCACCCUGCUGGGGGUGGGUGGUCUUAGUCACUCAGUUUUCUGUGGGGGGUUGGGGGAUAGAAGUGGUGGUUGUGGUCAGUGGUAAAGGGUCCCUGCAGGGAGGUGCUCCUGGUUUUCUACCUCGGUGAAGGAUCUUUGACACAGGCAACCUCCAUCCAGGCACCCAGUGGAAACGGACAGCUGACCAUAUAGCCCAGUGCCUUUUCUGACACACUUCUUCCUUGGGGAAGUUGAGGUUGGGGGCGGGCUGUGCACAGGGCUCCCCAGCCUCCCUGUGUGUCUGCUUCCUUCCCUGCCCUCCGCCCGGUGGCCCCAUGGCCCACAGCCCACAGGGAAGCAGGUUGGUGCCACCCCUGCCUCCCCUCCGCAGCCGGCGGGCCUGUAAAUGCCUCCCUUGGGCCCCCAUGAGGCCAGUGAGCCAGAAGCCCCUCUGACCCAGAGGUCACUGUGACCAGC